Molecule: non-coding RNA, 360 nt
Organism: Thioalkalivibrio nitratireducens DSM 14787
Lineage: Bacteria; Pseudomonadati; Pseudomonadota; Gammaproteobacteria; Chromatiales; Ectothiorhodospiraceae
Source: Rfam
GGGGACGACAUGGCUUCGACGUGGGUCACGAAACCUGAGGUGCAUGCCGAGGCUGUAGCUGACCUCGUAAAAACGGCUGCAAACCAAUAGUUGCCAACGACGACAACUACGCACUCGCCGCUUAAAACCCGGUAGGGUGCCGUCCGACUGGAGCCGCGCCUGCGCGUCCAGACCCGGGCGUCGAUCUCGCAGGAUCGUGGAGAAGCUUCCCGGGGCGGAUCCACUAAAACUCAACCGGGAUCGCUGGUGGUCUUCCCUGCCCGUCGGGUAGCCACCAGUUAAAACAAAGACGCGGAUAAGCAUGUAGAGCCGAGGGCGGAGGUCUUGCGGACGCGGGUUCGAUUCCCGCCGUCUCCACCA